CUCAACCCCGGAACUGCCUCCGAUACUGGGUGCCUUGAGGACGGGAGAGGUGAGCGGAAUUCCGAGUGUAGAGGUGAAAUUCGUAGAUAUUCGGAGGAACACCGGUGGCGAAGGCGGCUCACUGGCCCGAUCCUGACGCUGAGGCGCGAAAGCGUGGGGAGCAAACAGGAUAGAUACCCUGGUAGUCCACGCUGUAAACGAUGGGUGCUAGAUGUUGGGGCUUCACAGCUUCAGUGUCGCAGCUAACGCAUUAAGCACCCCGCCUGGGGACUACGGCCGCAAGGCUAAAACUCAAAGGAAUUGACGGGGGCCCGCACAAGCGGUGGAGCAUGUGGUUUAAUUCGAGGCAACGCGAAGAACCUUACCAGCCCUUGACAUCCCGGUCGCGAGGAUCAGAGAUGAACCUCUUCAGUUCGGCUGGACC
Molecule: ribosomal RNA, 424 nt
Filed under: uncultured Alphaproteobacteria bacterium
Lineage: Bacteria; Pseudomonadati; Pseudomonadota; Alphaproteobacteria
Description: partial 16S ribosomal RNA
Rfam family: Bacterial small subunit ribosomal RNA
Source: RNAcentral